Molecule: long non-coding RNA, 3793 nt
Organism: Sapajus apella (tufted capuchin)
Lineage: Eukaryota; Metazoa; Chordata; Mammalia; Primates; Cebidae
Exons: 2
Source: RefSeq, a predicted model, not a curated record
UGCCUCAGCCUCUCAAAGUGCUGGGAAUACAGGUGUAAGCUAUCACACUCAGCUUUGGAUCAAACUUCUAACACUCAUAAAAAACACCUGGGACUUCCUGAGAGCCAGCUUGGGCUUUUGUUACUGCCUCCCCUGCUCAUGAUGGGUAUUUGCAUAUCGUUAGACCCUCAGUUUAGAAGAAGUUGCACCUGAGAUGAAUCUCUGGCAGAGUUUUGGUCCAGGAAAGGCCCUGACCUGUGGCUGGGAGUCCUUCUUCCCUUAACGCCAAGUGGCCAGUUGUGAUCCAUGUCCCUCUUCUUGAGACUCAGAGCUCGUUGCUUGUCAGCUCUUUGUUCCUUAUCCACCACCUGUUAAGCUGAGGAACAGACUCAGUGGGAGAUGGAGGGUUGGGGUGGGCAACGUGAUAAUGAGUUUGAUUUCGAGAAUGUUGCCAUUGAGGCAGCUGACAUCCAGCUAGAGGACAGCUCUAAAACUAUUAGGAGAGAUCUGAACCACUGAUAAAGCAAUGUGGGGAUCUGAUACAUAUUCGCAGUGUGUUUCUUAGGAAUUACGUUUAGUUACUAGAAGAAACUUUCUUGUCAAAGACCAGAAGCAACAAUGGCUGAAACGAGACGGAAACAUAUUGUGCAUCACCUUAAUGGGCCGGUGCGUGGGUAUCGUGGUGUUUUCGGGGACCUAUCUAUCUUUCUGCCCCACCAUUUUAGUAUGUAUCCCCCAUUUUGGAUUUGUCUUAUGAUCAAAUAUUGCUGUUAGAGCACCCGUCAUCAUCUUUACAUUUCAGGCAGAAAGCAGGAAAAAAGGUGGGAGGUUUUUUUUUUUUUAAAAAAAGAAAAGUGCUAUGCUUGCAGCUGUCUACCUUCCCUUUAAGUCCUACCCACUGACUUCUGUAUACACAUUGUAAGGGAAAUGGCUGCACUUGAGUGAGGAACAGGCGAAGUGGCACCGCGGGAUUCAGCGGGCUUGGAGCUCGGGCAGGUGCACAACUCCGCACAUUACGUCACCACAGCAUGUGAGGCGCAUUAGGUGAGCAGUCACGUGAGCUCGUGCUUCAGUCGGAGCCACUAUUGUCUGCAAAAGGUAUAAUUACCCUGCUAACGCUGGGCCUAGGGGUCGCGCCCAGAAAGAGAACAAAGCCAUGUCAGAGCUGCCUACAAUUCCGACGGUGUUUUUCCAGCUGCCCGCCACCCGCCCACCGACUUCCCUUGGACCUCAGUUUGGGAUAGAACCUGGUAACUGGUGUCAAGAACAGGAUUCUGAGGUGAGUGAGGCUUUGGCCUUGCCGACGCCGGGCCGGCCAUGUGGUCGCAAAAUGGGUUUUAGUGGCAGCUGUGCUGCUCGGAUGGGCUUCGAUGGAAACCUGGGUGUGGGUAGACGGGUCUCCCGCGAGCAUGGAGACGGUGCUGAGGCCACUGGAAGCACCCAGCACUGAGAAGGAGGGAGCCUUUGCCGGCAGAAUUGGUUGGGUGUUUUUGACUGUGCUACGAAAAGUAUGCCCCCAGUCCCUGAGGGAUGCAGCACAGGUGAGGGACCUCCAGGCGCAGGCAGGGUGCCUGGAGGCCUGGCGACACAGAUCAGGAAAAGAGUUAGAGGCUGCCGUGAAUGGGGAUCUCCAGGUUCAGGUGGGGCACCUGGAGGCCCGGCUUCAGAGCUUGGAAAAAGAAUUAGAGGCUGCCAUGAAUGCAGGCCUGGGUCGUCGUCGACUCAGCAGAGACCCCCCCACUCGAUCUGAUACCAAGGAGGAAGAACCCCAAUGCGGGGUUGCGCAGUGAUCCAUCAGAAGGUAGAUCACGAACAGCUGUUGGGACCCCAAGGGCGCGCUCAGGGACGGCCCACCGUAACACAACACACUUCACGUAGUGCCUCUGCCACAACUGAGUUGCAGGAAUUAGGCAAGCAGGGCCAGCAGCGUCCAGGGGAACCCUGCCUGCCUGGUUGCUUCAUUUGUGAAAUGAGGGAGCAGAUAGUAUUUCUUGUUCUGCCUCUGAGAUGGAAGAGCUGGCCACCAUCAAGACUCAUCCCUUGCCCUGUCAGUGGUUGCAAGUGAGGAGGCAGUUAAUGGCAGGGCAAGGUGACCACGCCCUGAUUGAGUGGCUGUGGGCAGCCAUACUGACUGUGUGAAAUGACGCCAGUGGAAUACCCGAAACUGUAAGUGGCAGUUGUAUGCCAAUUUGGUGCAAGUCAUCUGGGAGAUGGCUAUGCGUUAGGCUAUGUCUGACAUGAAUUCCUGGGGGCAGUGAUGAAUGCUUCACCUCCAGUUGAGGGGCUUUGUGUUGAGAUCUGUGCCUGAGCGCCUUUCACUUCCUGGCUACUGUCUUCACCCCUUAUGUAGGGUGCCACAUACAUGAAAUGACUACUGCUGUGGUGGCUCUCAGGGAAUCAGAAGGCCAUCGGUGGGACCAAGGGGUCCGUGCCAUAAAGAAGGGGAAGCUGCCCUACCUGCAGGGGGCUCCCCCAUGGGAAAAAAGGGGGCCCCAGUGAGUAACAUGUUCACAGGUGUGAAGAGAUUUGGUUUUGGCCAGGGUUGACUGAGAGAAAAAUCAAUAAGCAGCCCAGUGAAAUAGUCUUAACUUUGUGGAGAAGGUGAUCUUUGGGGCAGCAAUUUCAGAAAAUGUCCAAGCGGUAGAAGGACAUUGCUGUGCAGUCCUGUCCUGCCUGGGCAUUGGUUCCAACUUGGAAACUACUCACUGCAGCCAGGAGGAAAUGCUGAGCCUUUUAUGUUUGAUUAGGGAACUGGCUGAGGUGCUCAGCUUGGGAAGACACAGGAUGACUGGAGGCCACAUGUGGAAUUAGCAAUCCACUGGUCCCUCACCAGUGUACAGUGGGUGCUGGUGCUGGUAGAUACCGGCGCAGCUUGUAGCCUUGUUGAUGGGAACCCAGAUAAGUUUCCCUGGGCAAAGCUGCAAACAUUGACGCUUAUGGAGGCCGGCCAGUGAAAGUGAGACCUGUAUCUCUGUGCCUCAGCAUUGGCAGCUUGGCUCCCCGUUUAUGUACUGUAUAUGUCUCUCCCAUACCAGAAUACAUUCUGGGGGUGUACAUUGUACAUGGCCUGGUGUUACAAACCAUGGCCGGUGAGUUCAGACUCCCAGUGCAUGUGGUAAAGCUGGCGCUGUGCAGACAUGCGCGUCACCAGCCUCAGGUCGUGCCACAGCCCCAACAGGUUACUUCCACGCAUCAGUACCAUUUGGUGGGUGGGCAUAUGGAGAUAACUGGGACAACCAAAAAGCUGGAGGAGGUGCAGAUAGUGUGUGGCCCUCACAGCUCCUACAGUUCUCCAGUGUGGCCAGUUUGAAAGCCUGAUGGAAUCUGGCGGACGAUGGUGGACUAUUGGGAACUGAAUAACAUCCCCUUUGCAUGCAGCUGUACUGUCAAUCAUGCAUUUAAUGGACCAUUUGACUGCGGAACUGGCACAAUAUCAUUAUGUAGUGGGCUUGACCGAUGCACUUUUCUCCAUCAGCAUCACUCCAGAGAGCCAGGAACAGUUCACCUUCACGUGGGAAAGGCAACAAUGGACUUUGACAGUGUUGCCGCAGGGCUGUGUGCCUACGCCCACCAUAUGUCUUGUCUUGUUUCCAUAGAUUUAGCCUCCUGGCAGUGUCCAGAAGGGGCCUGCCUAUUCUGUUAUGUUAAUGAUGCUCGUGCCUCUUGUAGCCACGUUUGGCGGCAUGUGGUUGGGCUGUCAGCGAAUCCAAGGUCCAAGGGCCUGGAUUAUCUGCCAGAUUAUUGGGAGUUAUCUGGUCAGAACCUCACCUGUCUGCUGGAUGUUUCCUUCCUGGAAAUAAAAUUACCUCCAUUC